Molecule: ribosomal RNA, 565 nt
Filed under: uncultured bacterium
Lineage: Bacteria
Description: partial 16S ribosomal RNA
Rfam family: Bacterial small subunit ribosomal RNA
Source: RNAcentral
UGGGGAAUAUUGCACAAUGGGCGCAAGCCUGAUGCAGCCAUGCCGCGUGUGUGAAGAAGGCCUUCGGGUUGUAAAGCACUUUCAGCGAGGAGGAAGGUGGUGAACUUAAUACGUUCAUCAAUUGACGUUACUCGCAGAAGAAGCACCGGCUAACUCCGUGCCAGCAGCCGCGGUAAUACGGAGGGUGCAAGCGUUAAUCGGAAUUACUGGGCGUAAAGCGCACGCAGGCGGUUUGUUAAGUCAGAUGUGAAAUCCCCGGGCUCAACCUGGGAACUGCAUUUGAAACUGGCAAGCUAGAGUCUCGUAGAGGGGGGUAGAAUUCCAGGUGUAGCGGUGAAAUGCGUAGAGAUCUGGAGGAAUACCGGUGGCGAAGGCGGCCCCCUGGACGAAGACUGACGCUCAGGUGCGAAAGCGUGGGGCAGCAAACAGGAUUAGAUACCCUGGUAGUCCACGCUGUAAACGAUGUCGAUUUGGAGGUUGUGCCCCUUGAGGCGUGGCUUCCGGAGCUAAUGCGUAAAUCGACGCCUGGGGAGUACGGCCGCAAGGUUAAAAACUCAAAGAAUUG